Molecule: ribosomal RNA, 253 nt
Filed under: uncultured bacterium
Lineage: Bacteria
Description: partial 16S ribosomal RNA
Rfam family: Bacterial small subunit ribosomal RNA
Source: RNAcentral
UACGUAGGGUGCAAGCGUUGUCCGGAAUCAUUGGGCGUAAAGAGCUCGUAGGCGGUCUGUCGCGUCUGCUGUGAAAACCUGGGGCUUAACCCUGGGCUUGCAGUGGGUACGGGCAGACUAGAGUCCGGUAGGGGAGUGUGGAAUUCCCGGUGUAGCGGUGAAAUGCGCAGAUAUCGGGAGGAACACCAGUAGCGAAGGCGGCACUCUGGGCCGGUACUGACGCUGAGGAGCGAAAGCGUGGGGAGCGAACAGG